UUAUGGAAAUUCUAUGAAGAGAUUCUGGUAUUUUACUUCUCUUUGAAGCUUUAGGUGAUGUAACUUGUUUAUUUGUCUUCAAAUUCUCACAUGGUCUUACUUGAAAGGAAUCAUUGACUCUAUCAGAAGUUAUUCCGCUACUUCUGCCUUUACUGCUUGAAACAGUUCUUUGUGAGCUAGUACGAGUCAGUGAAGACGAGCCAUUGAAAUGGGAGGAUGUGGAUCUGCAUCAAUGCUAGUGGUGUGAGUAAAUACUUGGAGUUCUAAAACAACAGGCUUAGACCCCAAUCCAGGAAAUUAAGAAGUGGACUAUUAGCAAAAUUCUUCAUAGAGAAGAAGGUGAGAUCAUUUCACUUUUUUCAUCCUAGCUUCUUAGUACUAUCUUAUUAACAUUGGUUGAUAAUUCUAAUUUACUUUCGGCAAUGAUAUAUGAAAUUCAUUCCCCCUGGAAAAAUGGAAGCCUUAAGUGACAUUUUCCGAAAUGGAACUUGUUGAGAUUCUGUUGCAUCUAAACCAUGGAUGAAAAUUAUGCAAUAAAUGUCACAGGCCUUGCUUACUUUUUCUGUCUUAACUCUCAAGGUCUAAGACAUCAUGGUGAUAUAUUUCAGUAGUUCUAAUGUUGAUACUCAUAUAGUGGGCCUAGGAACUUAGGGAGAUGUUAGUUUUGACUUUGCAUCAGUUAAUUAAUAGCCCACCAAGAAGAAAUGUGGUAUAUUUCAUGUUACCUGCUCCUGCUUAUGUCUUCAAUCUCUGAGUUAUCAUAUGUACGUGUGGACAGAAGCGCUUUCAGAUGCUGUGACUUGUGUGGGUUUGUGCUUUUGCUGUCUUCGGAUUUCUGAGACCUGCUUGCUAAUCGGGAAGCCUGAACUUUUCCUUUCAAUAUGACAUAUACUCCACAAGAUUCUGGUGCAAGUUUGAGCAAGCUGG
RNAcentral lists this long non-coding RNA (927 nucleotides) under Gossypium raimondii (Peruvian cotton). RNAcentral's name for it is "long non-coding RNA (GRAI_LNC009728)". Lineage: Eukaryota; Viridiplantae; Streptophyta; Magnoliopsida; Malvales; Malvaceae. The record is from RNAcentral.